GGGGGGCGUAGCUCAGUUGGGAGAGCACGGCUUGCCGAGACAGGGGUUCAAAUCCCCUCCCCUCCACCA
Molecule: transfer RNA, 69 nt
Filed under: Acidimicrobiia bacterium
Lineage: Bacteria; Bacillati; Actinomycetota; Acidimicrobiia
Description: tRNA-OTHER
Rfam family: tRNA
About the family: Transfer RNA (tRNA) molecules are approximately 80 nucleotides in length.
Source: RNAcentral